GAAUGUUUCCGCUCUUUCCACUUGACCACUUGCGGAUUUUAGCAUCGAUCUUCUGCAGAGGUUCGUAUUCCGUUUUCUUUUAAUUUUGAGGCUAUUUUCGUGUAAAAGAAUCGAAAAAGUAGUAUAUCUCUUUGCAAUUGCAGUAGUAUUACCUUGAUUUCUUCAGCAUCCUUAUUGGUUUCUUCCAUUUUGUUGUUUUCAUCUUGUGUUAUAUCCUCCACCUGCACAGCUCAUUACAAGUUCCACACCAAUUAUAAAGAGAAACAUACACAUUUUUAGAUUGAAAACCUGAAAAGUUGAAAGGAGCAUUAAGUUACAUCGAAAUUUACAUGGAAGGGCUCAUCUAUAUCCUCUGAGGUAGUAUGUGCUGAUUAGAAAAAAAGAAAAGAAAGAUGUUAUUUAGUUGUGUAGUGGUAACAAGAUUUAAAUCCGAUACACCAAUCCAAGAACUUACUUGUGCUCGGUUCUUGUCUCUCUUCUUGUACAGUAACACCAGGAGCCUUAUAGUUCAUGCUCUCCCGGUCUGAAUCCUUUUUCUGAGUUGCGUGUGAAGGUUUCGAAUCCCGAUUCUGCAACGAUAUUGACAGGUAAGGAAUCACAAACCAAGGAACAUAUAGCAAGAUGUUGAUUUUCAGGUAAAGUACCAUAGCGGGGAUAUCUGGAGUCGAUUUCUUUUGUUGAUCAGGAAUGUUUACAGUAUCUUUGGCAUUAGCAGCAUCAUGAUUGAUAUCAGUCUUGGGAGUUUCUUUAGCUCUCCAUCUAGAGCUUUGU
RNAcentral lists this long non-coding RNA (771 nucleotides) under Arabidopsis lyrata. RNAcentral's name for it is "long non-coding RNA (ALYR_LNC002883)". The record is from RNAcentral. Lineage: Eukaryota; Viridiplantae; Streptophyta; Magnoliopsida; Brassicales; Brassicaceae.